GGAAAUAGAUACUUCACAAAGCACGUUGUCAAAACUCCUGGCGUGGACUUAGGCACUGUGAUGUAAUGCCUCUGUCCUAAAAAAAUAACAUACUCACAGCAGAACUAUAGAUACUGAUGCCCUGGGUUCCUAUUAGAUAUCUCUGAUUAUUGAUGAAGGAUAAACGCUCAUAAAGAUUAUAAUCAUCAUAUUAAUUAUUUAUGUUGUUAGUUGGGGGAAGUUGGGAUGAGAGGUGUUCUAUUCUGUUUGACUGUACUUUUGGGGGGUAAGUUCUUGCUUCUGGCCUCUAGCCAUACUUCCAGUAUAAUGGAACAAAAGAGUAAUUCCUGCUAGCAUUAGAAGAAUCCAUUAAGAAGAAUAAAAUACUAUCCACAAAGUUGUGAUUGACUUGGAUUUCACCCAGGCUCUCUGGGGAAAAAUCGCAGGCUUUCUCCAAAACUCAGAACAGCCUCUAUCCUAAAAACUGAGUCACGUUAAAUCGACUUAUGUGGUCAGCCCUGAGUAGAGGUUCCUUUAGGUUAAAAGGAUUCUAGUCAUAUAUGGGGUCCAGAAAAACUUGGCUGACAGCUGGCAGCUCUACAUAGUUGAGGGUUUAAAAAAUAUAUUCUAAUUUUAAAUUAAUAUAUACUUAUUAACACCUACUACAUGCCAAGCACUCAUUGUUCUAGAUAUUUCAUCUGUUGUAAUGGAGGUUUUUGUUUGUUGGUUGGUUUUCUGCAAACCCAUCUUUUGUUUAGAGAAUCAUAUCUCACCCAACCUCAGUCCAUGUUCCUGACCUCCUGGCUCCAGAAAAGGACAGUUGACCAAAUUAGGCCAAUGAAGAUAUUUCUGGAACUGCUGCUAAAGUUUGGGGAAAGAUGCUUUUAUGCAGCAGGGAAAGUUAAGACAGCAAGAUCUAACCCUAAAGAUGCUAGGAGCUAUGGGAAGGAAAGCAUAGUCAGGAUGUGGGGAGGUAGUGUCAUGGCACGUUCAUCUGAAUACCUGGAUCUAGCUGCACCUGAAGCAGCCGGAUCUGAUGGUAAUACAGAUUUGACAGUAAAAUGAAAUAAUACAUUCCUUUUAGUUGUUAAUUAAACCAUGUGGAUUGGGAUUUCUCGCACAUUUACAGGAAAAGUCCUGAUAUAUUUAUAUUUUCUUGAGUCCUUAUAAAGAAAAUACGCCAUAGGCAUCAUUCAUCCCUUCUGUACAAGGUGAGGAAGCAGAGACUUAAUGACAAGCAAUCUGCUGAGAUUCUGCCUCUUCAAGUGGAAGUGCUGGGACUCAUGCCUGAGCUUCUGUCACCGCAGCUCUUCUCACGUUAUCACUCACAGGCCCAGGACAAAGAUGCUCAACAGUCUUGGAUACAGGGAAGAGAGCAGAUACUCCAGGUCUUAGAAAUAAACCUGAUCUCAGAUUAGAAUCCAUGGUUCCUCGUUUAAGAAACUAAGGUUCUGGGGCCUCCCUGGUGGUACAGUGGUUAAGAAUCUGCCUGCCAAUGCAGGGGACACGGGUUCGAGCCCUGGUCCGGGAAGAUCCCACAAGCUGUGGAGCAACUACGCCCGUGCGCCACAACUACUGAGCCUGCGCUCUAGAGCCUGUGUGCCACAACUACUGAAGCCUGCGCGCCACAGCUACGGAAGCCCGCGUGCCUAGAGCCCGUGCUCCGGAGCAGGAGAGGCCACCGCAGUGAGAAGCCUGUGCUCCGCGACGAACAGUAGCCCCCGCUCGCCACAGCUGGAGCGGGCCUGUGCUCAGCAACACAGACACAAUGCAGCCAAAGAUAAAUGAAUAAAUAAAUAAAUAAAUAGAAAGUAAGAAAGAAACCAAGGUUCUGGAACUGCAAAACCUUAUCUGAAGAUGUGAUCAUUGCAACGGUAAUAAGGCAAUGGUAACAGCGCAAUAUAUUUUGUUAUGUAUUACAGAAACCCUAAACCAGCCCGUGAAUUAAAGUUGUACAAGUAGGGUAAUGCAGACAGUGGAAGCUGUAUGGCCAUCUGAAAGCCUGGGCAUUUACCCUGAGGAGCAUCUGUCAGCUGGCAUCACACAUGUCCCAGGAUAAACUGGGGCGAUCAGAUGAGCUGAUGAGGCCGCUGCAUCGCUCAGUGAUUAAGAAGCAGCAGCGAAAGCGUCUCCAUCCAAUGCCAUGGACACGAGAGGAGGCAAAAGACUGUGAAAACCAGGACUGAGCAGGCUAACAGCGCACACAGGUGGGCCAAAGACAGUGGACCGAAAGGCUAGGUUCAAAAAGCCAGCCUGAGAAAGGAGGGCCCGAGACAGGAACGAAGACCCAGAGUGCAAAGCCAAGAUGCA
Long non-coding RNA from Orcinus orca (killer whale), 2289 nucleotides. RefSeq lists it as uncharacterized. The transcript has 4 exons. NCBI's taxonomy places the organism in Eukaryota, Metazoa, Chordata, Mammalia, Artiodactyla, Delphinidae. The record is from RefSeq and is a predicted model, not a curated record.